UACAGAGGUGGCAAGCGUUGUUCGGAAUUACUGGGCGUAAAGGGCGCGUAGGCGGCCUUCUAAGUCAGACGUGAAAUCCCCCGGCUUAACCUGGGAACUGCGUCUGAUACUGGGAGGCUCGAGUAUGGGAGAGGGAUGUAGAAUUCCAGGUGUAGCGGUGAAAUGCGCAGAUAUCAGGAGGAACACCGGUGGCGAAGGCGGGAUCCUGGGCCAGUACUGACGCUGAGGAGCGAAAGCGUGGGGAGCAAACAGG
This 253-nucleotide ribosomal RNA is filed under the name uncultured bacterium. RNAcentral's name for it is "partial 16S ribosomal RNA". It matches the Rfam family "Bacterial small subunit ribosomal RNA", at positions 524 to 776 of the family's 1533-position model. The record is from RNAcentral.